This 497-nucleotide ribosomal RNA is filed under the name uncultured bacterium. RNAcentral's name for it is "partial 16S ribosomal RNA". It matches the Rfam family "Bacterial small subunit ribosomal RNA", at positions 28 to 507 of the family's 1533-position model. The record is from RNAcentral.
GAUGAACGCUGGCGGCGUGCCUAAUACAUGCAAGUCGAGCGAACGGACGAGAAGCUUGCUCCCUUGAUGUUAGCGGCGGACGGGUGAGUAACACGUGGAUAACCUACCUAUAAGACUGGGAUAACUUCGGGAAACCGGAGCUAAUACCGGAUAAUAUUUUGAACCGCAUGGUUCAAAAGUGAAAGACGGUUUUGCCGUUACUUUUAGAUGGAUCCGCGCUGCAUUAGCUAGUUGGUAAGGUAACGGCUUACCAAGGCAACGAUGCAUAGCCGACCUGAGAGGGUGAUCGGCCACACUGGAACUGAGACACGGUCCAGACUCCUACGGGAGGCAGCAGUAGGGAAUCUUCCGCAAUGGGCGAAAGCCUGACGGAGCAACGCCGCGUGAGUGAUGAAGGUCUUCGGAUCGUAAAACUCUGUUAUUAGGGAAGAACAUAUGUGUAAGUAACUGUGCACAUCUUGACGGUACCUAAUCAGAAAGCCACGGCUAACUACGUG